This 503-nucleotide ribosomal RNA is filed under the name uncultured bacterium. RNAcentral's name for it is "partial 16S ribosomal RNA". It matches the Rfam family "Bacterial small subunit ribosomal RNA", at positions 30 to 523 of the family's 1533-position model. The record is from RNAcentral.
AUUGAACGCUGGCGGCAGGCUUAACACAUGCAAGUCGAGCGGGGUGAUGGUGCUUGCACUAUCACUUAGCGGCGGACGGGUGAGUAAUGCUUAGGAAUCUGCCUAUUAGUGGGGGACAACAUCUCGAAGGGGAUGCUAAUACCGCAUACGUCCUACGGGAGAAAGCAGGGGAUCACUUGUGACCUUGCGCUAAUAGAUGAGCCUAAGUCGGAUUAGCUAGUUGGUGGGGUAAAGGCCUACCAAGGCGACGAUCUGUAGCGGGUCUGAGAGGAUGUUCCGCCACACUGGGACUGAGACACGGCCCAGACUCCUACGGGAGGCAGCAGUGGGGAAUAUUGGACAAUGGGGGGAACCCUGAUCCAGCCAUGCCGCGUGUGUGAAGAAGGCCUUAUGGUUGUAAAGCACUUUAAGCGAGGAGGAGGCUCUUUUGGUUAAUACCCAAGAUGAGUGGACGUUACUCGCAGAAUAAGCACCGGCUAACUCUGUGCCAGCAGCCGCCGUAA